CAGGAGGUAGUUCAAUAGAAUCUCGGUUCUGGGGGCCGAUGGUGAGGAUGUAGAGCUCCUUUCUUCUUA
RNAcentral lists this transfer RNA (69 nucleotides) under Chthonerpeton indistinctum. RNAcentral describes it as "tRNA-Pro". The record is from RNAcentral. Lineage: Eukaryota; Metazoa; Chordata; Amphibia; Gymnophiona; Typhlonectidae.